Long non-coding RNA from Rhineura floridana, 921 nucleotides. RefSeq lists it as uncharacterized. The transcript is spliced from 2 exons. NCBI's taxonomy places the organism in Eukaryota, Metazoa, Chordata, Lepidosauria, Squamata, Rhineuridae. The record is from RefSeq and is a predicted model, not a curated record.
UUGUUAGCCAGAGCAGGCUGUUGCCCAGGGCCUGAGGCUGAUUUUGAUAAAGUUGCCGUUAUGGCUAUAUCUUCCUGGGUUGUGCAGAGCAUGAGACUCUACACAGCUUGGUGCUUUAAACUUUCAACCCAACCACAUCAACCAACCAGCCAACAGAUUACUGUAUUCUGCCUUGUGAACUGAACAUACAAGCAACGCCAGAGUCAACAAUGCUAGCUGUCCACCUUGAAGCUUUUUGUUCCUUUUCAUCAUGCUUUCUGCCGAUUUCCUAUGAUGAAGAUUUGUCAACAGAUGCUGAAAGGCAAACAAAUUCCCCAGGAGACCUGGCACCAUAUGCCUAAUCACAGCCACGGAGCCAAACUUUAGACCUGCCGACACCACCAGGCCUGGCUUUUGUCUUUGGCGGCAACUAUGAAAAGCAGCUCUCCAAUGUUUGCUCAGAACUCCCUCUUCCCAGGCAGCUGGGCAACGUUGUUCCCCACACAUGACAAAGCGGACAACCUAGGCCAAUUAUGGGAGUCUAAAAUGUAAACAUGGAGACUUUUCAUCCAAAAGAAGCUGCUACAGAAAUGGGAGAUGAGGCUGCCAACAGAUAGAGCACCACUCUAAGUGGGGUAUAAUGUCAGUUCAAGUUGAGAGGCUACAAAAGUCAAACAGCAGUUCGAUGGUACUAUAACUGUACUUAAGAGACUUGACUUUUCUAUACUGCCUGAGAGGCCAAAAGCAGCAUUAAUUAUCUAAUUUAGAAGAGAGAGAGAGAGGCUAUUUAUUUCUGAAGGAAGCCUAAGAGUGGAAGGAAGUUAAUAGGGACAUUAUUAGGAGUGCCAUUUCAAUUUUCGUCGUAGGGAUGGAGAGAUCUUUGUGUGAGGGUGGGAAUCCACGUUUAGAUAUAAUGAAAAUUAAAAAUGUAUUUGAAAAGCA